Molecule: long non-coding RNA, 646 nt
Organism: Lathyrus oleraceus (garden pea)
Lineage: Eukaryota; Viridiplantae; Streptophyta; Magnoliopsida; Fabales; Fabaceae
Exons: 2
Source: RefSeq, a predicted model, not a curated record
ACAUCCAAUGGCCAGAACGAGCUUCCCAAAAGGUUGCGGUCUCUCCACCGUUUCAAAACCUUCAUUCACUUAGACCAAAACUUUACCUCCGAUGAGGGCGAAAAACCGACGGCCACGCACCAUUCCUCACCUACGUCUCAGCUUGGCGCGCAUAAAAGCGAGGACGACGGAGUCCAAUCCGAUGUUGUGCGAAACAUAUCCAAGUGCAAAAUCUAAGUGAAGACUCAAAGAAAACGCGAGCCAUUUGACGAUAUUGACGCUUCAGAUCGAGAUACCGUCUCUCACUCUCAUCUCGUUCCCAGUUUCUAGUUCAACAACAAAGCUUUCUCCGAUUUAUCGUAUCUACACAUAAAAGAUGAGCAAAAAGAGAGCAAAGGCUUACUGGAAAUAGAGCUUCGAUGCAGUGGUUCUUCUACGGCUACAACGACGACUUCACCGGUGAAUUAGUGAUUGCCAAUGGUUCUGCAGAACGGUCUUUGCGUUGAGUUCUCCAGCUCAUGUUUUGACAUUGCAAUUGUGUUGCGUUUUCCUUUUACUGUUUCUGCAGGUUGGGUCCAAGUUUGUGACCCAUGAUGUGGAUAUGAUUAUGGAUAGAUGGUUAAUGUUAAUGGAUCUUGGAUUUAAAAUGGAUAUGGAUUUUUAAGCA